AUGAGUGUUGCAUCGGUUUGUGAUGAUCUAACAAAAUUGAUGAGACAAUAUUGGUGGGGAGUUGAAAGAGGUAAAAGGAAGAUGGCUUGGCUGAGUUGGGACAAACUAAGGCUGCCUAAGAGUAAGGGUGGCAUGGGCUUCAGAGACAUGUGUGCGUUUAACCAAGCUAUGCUAGCAAAGCAAACUUGGAGAUUAUUAGAGUUCCCUGAUAGUCUUUUGCUCGACUAUUAAUUAAAAGCUAGAUACUAUCCUCAUGGCAGUCUGUUGGAUACAAUUUUUACUGGAAAUUCGUCUGCGGUUUGGAAAGGUAUUGUGCAUGGACUAGAGCUGGUGAAGACGGGAAUUAUAUGGAGAAUUGGGGCUGGUAAUUCGGUGACAACGCGGAGAGAUCCAUGGAUCCCUCGACGGUAUGACUUUCGGCCGAUUACCCCUAAGAGGAACUGCCGGUUUAACCGAGUGUCGGAUUUCUUAGACAUCAAUGGAGACUGGAUUGUGGAUCGGAUCCACGAACACUUUUGGCCGAUGGAUGUUGUAGAAAUUCUGAAAAUUCGUACUUCUCCAAGAAAUAGGCAGGACUUCAUUGGCUGGUAUCCCGAGCCUCGUGGUAAUUUUACGCUCAAGUCGGCGUACAAGCUAGCUACUGAUUCACAUGACGAUACUCACGCUGGGGGUGCUAGCAGCAGUAGACCGGAUGGCAAUCGGACAAUCUGGAAUUCUAUUUGGAAAUCUCAGGUCCCGCUCAAGAUGCGCAUCUUGGCAUGGAAGACGGCGAGUGGGGCGUUAGCUACUAACUUGUGCAAGGUACAACGCCAUAUUCCUGUGCAUAGCUCCUGUCCGGUUUGCGUGGAGGAAGCGAGUAGCUUUCAUGCUCUUAUCACAUGCAUGCAAGCUCGGCAAGUGUGGGAUGGUCUGCGCAAGAUUUGGCCACUACGUGAUGAUGUUCUACUAAUUGAAUCAUGGAAAGAUUGGCUCUUGCAAAUCCUAUCAAAUUGCCCAGUACACACUAGGGACACGGUGAUUAUAACCAUUUGGCGAAUACGGCAGCUGCGUAAUGAUAUUACUCAUGGAAAGGGUGAGUCCCGGGCUCACUGA
Molecule: ribosomal RNA, 1092 nt
Filed under: Triticum aestivum (bread wheat)
Lineage: Eukaryota; Viridiplantae; Streptophyta; Magnoliopsida; Poales; Poaceae
Description: partial small subunit ribosomal RNA
Source: RNAcentral